GUCGUUCAUAACCCACCGGAUCUGUGGGGAUUCUGUUAUAACAGCCCCAAGGGACGAAGACAGCCCCUCUACCCUCUUCAGGUCAUAGAAAUUCCCUCCCACCUGGUGUGAAGAUAGAGGCGGUUGGCUAUUGCCAUGGAAACCAAGGUGGAAUGGGGGCCCAGAAGGAGAGGCUGGGGAAAGGACAGCAGGAGCCUCAGAGACUGAGACUUCACGGGCUUUGCAGACCACGUGGGACUCAAGUCCCGCCUAUCCACACAGGGGACGCACUCAAGGUAUGAAGGCGCAGUGCAGGCCCUCAGGAAGUGGGCCUUCCUUGCUGAUCCAGUGGUUGAGAAUCUGCCCGACAGUGAAGGGGACACGGGUUCGAUCCCUGAUCUGGGAAGAUCCCAUGUGCUGCGGAGCAACUAAGCCCGGGAGCCACAACUCGUGAACCCACGUACCCUAGGGCUGCUGCUCCGCAACAGAGAGCAACCCCCGACUCCGCGCAAUUAGAAGCAAUGGAGACCCAGCAGAGCCCAAAAGAAAGGAGGAAACUCAGCAAGCCGCUUUGCCUCUCGAAACCCGUUUCCUCUUCUAGAACACAAACUACAAGUAUUCCAUGAUCACGAGGUUGCCCUGAGCAUAAAGCAAAUGCAUCUGACAAAGUUCUCAAAAGCAGAUCUGAUGCCAUUUAUUGCAGAAACCAGUACUCGAGACACCACACACGGCACUCACAGAGCUGGAGAACUCAGGGUUAACACGCCGGCGGGGUUAACCCUGCAAGCUCUGAGCUCUGAACAGAGGGGUUACUGAGUUUUAUACACGGACAGGCAUGAUUUGCGGGUCUGCAGGGGCUGGGUGGUUGCAAAGAGCAGGACAAGGCACAGGUCCAGAUCCAAAAUGGGUUUUGAAAAGCGGUUCACCUGCCAAGGGUCUGUCUUCCGGUGUGAACUCCAUGCAGCGGCACGCAGCCUGUCUCGUUCCCGAGGGCGCCCCGCCCCACAAGCCUCCCACCUAGAGUGGGUCUUACAGCUUAACUAACCUUGAAUGUAUUCUUAUCUUUUUCCAGUGUCCAUAAAUAAAGUUCUACUGGAACAAGGCCACACUAAUUAAUUUCCAUAUUGCCUGUGGCUGCUUUCCUAUUACAACAGGCAGAGAACUCUGUGCUACAAAGCCUAAAAGAUUUACAAGCUGGGGCACUCCCUGGCCGUCCAAAGGUUAGGCCUUGGCUCUUUCUCUGCCAAGGGCUCAGGUGCAGAAACUAAGAUCCCAUGAGCUGUGCCACGAGGCCCC
This 1275-nucleotide long non-coding RNA is filed under the name Bos grunniens (domestic yak). RNAcentral's name for it is "lncRNA (ENSBGRG00000014103.1)". Lineage: Eukaryota; Metazoa; Chordata; Mammalia; Artiodactyla; Bovidae. The record is from RNAcentral.